This 98-nucleotide transfer RNA is filed under the name Sediminihabitans luteus. RNAcentral's name for it is "tRNA-Arg". The record is from RNAcentral. Lineage: Bacteria; Bacillati; Actinomycetota; Actinomycetes; Micrococcales; Cellulomonadaceae.
GCACGGGGAGCGUCGCGGCGCCUGACGCCGCAGCACCCGAGGCUGCUGGACGAGAACGCACGAGGCCCGGACGGUUCGACCGUCCGGGCCUCGUGCGC